UCGAGAAUUUUUCUCAAUGGGGGAAACCCUGAAGGAGCGACGCCGCGUGGAGGAUGAAGGCUUUCGGGUUGUAAACUCCUGUCAUUUGGGAACAAGUUGCACACGUUAACUGCGUGGGCAUUGAUAGUACCAGAAGAGGAAGGGACGGCUAACUCUGUGCCAGCAGCCGCGGUAAUACAGAGGUCCCAAGCGUUGUUCGGAUUCAUUGGGCGUAAAGGGUGCGUAGGUGGCGCCGUAAGUCGGGUGUGAAAUUUCGGAGCUUAACUCCGAAACUGCAUUCGAUACUGCGGUGCUUGAGGACUGGAGAGGAGACUGGAAUUCAUGGUGUAGCAGUGAAAUGCGUAGAGAUCAUGAGGAAGACCAGUGGCGAAGGCGGGUCUCUGGACAGUUCCUGACACUGAGGCACGAAGGCCAGGGGAGCAAACGGGAUUAGAUACCCCCGUAGUCC
This 448-nucleotide ribosomal RNA is filed under the name uncultured bacterium. Its description in RNAcentral is "bacterial SSU rRNA". It matches the Rfam family "Bacterial small subunit ribosomal RNA", at positions 355 to 796 of the family's 1533-position model. The record is from RNAcentral.